Ribosomal RNA from Oreochromis aureus, 118 nucleotides. NCBI's taxonomy places the organism in Eukaryota, Metazoa, Chordata, Actinopteri, Cichliformes, Cichlidae. The record is from Ensembl.
GCUUAUGGCCAUACCACCCUGAACACGCCCGAUCUUGUCUGAUCUUGGAAGCUAAGCAGGGUCGGGCCUGGUCAGUAUUUGGAUGGAGACCGCCUGGGAAUACCAGGUGCUGUAAGCU